This 259-nucleotide ribosomal RNA is filed under the name uncultured bacterium. Its description in RNAcentral is "partial 16S ribosomal RNA". It matches the Rfam family "Bacterial small subunit ribosomal RNA", at positions 98 to 353 of the family's 1533-position model. The record is from RNAcentral.
CGGGACGGGUGAGUAACGCGUGGGUAACCUGCCUUAUACAGGGGGAGUAACAGUCAGAAAUGGCUGCUAAUACCGCAUAAGCGCACAGAGCUGCAUGGCUCAGUGUGAAAAACUACCGGUGGUAUAAGAUGGACCCGCGUUGGAUUAGCUUGUUGGCGGGGUAACGGCCCACCAAGGCGACGAUCCAUAGCCGGCCUGAGAGGGUGAACGGCCACAUUGGGACUGAGACACGGCCCAGACUCCUACGGGAGGCAGCAUG